UGCAUCGGCCGGGAAUCGAACCCGGGCCGCCCGCGUGGCAGGCGAGCAUUCUACCACUCUGAUACUUGU
Non-coding RNA from Cordylochernes scorpioides, 69 nucleotides. Lineage: Eukaryota; Metazoa; Arthropoda; Arachnida; Pseudoscorpiones; Chernetidae. The record is from the annotation of a GenBank genome assembly.